UAACAAGUGUGUCACAAGAUGAUUGUUC
This 28-nucleotide non-coding RNA is filed under the name Rattus norvegicus (Norway rat). The record is from RNAcentral. Lineage: Eukaryota; Metazoa; Chordata; Mammalia; Rodentia; Muridae.